UACGUAGGGGGCAAGCGUUGUCCGGAUUUAUUGGGCGUAAAGAGCGUGUAGGCGGCCAUACAGGUCAGCUGUGAAAACUCGAGGCUCAACCUCGAGACGUCGGUUGAAACCGUUUGGCUAGAGUCCGGAAGAGGAGAGUGGAAUUCCUGGUGUAGCGGUGAAAUGCGCAGAUAUCAGGAAGAACACCCGUGGCGAAGGCGGCUCUCUGGGACGGUACUGACGCUGAGACGCGAAAGCGUGGGGAGCGAACAGG
Molecule: ribosomal RNA, 253 nt
Filed under: uncultured bacterium
Lineage: Bacteria
Description: partial 16S ribosomal RNA
Rfam family: Bacterial small subunit ribosomal RNA
Source: RNAcentral